This is a long non-coding RNA of Carcharodon carcharias (great white shark), 1462 nucleotides long. RefSeq lists it as uncharacterized. The transcript has 3 exons. Lineage: Eukaryota; Metazoa; Chordata; Chondrichthyes; Lamniformes; Lamnidae. The record is from RefSeq and is a predicted model, not a curated record.
CCCUUGUCCGCGCGCCUGGUCUGCAGACUGGAACCCGAGGUCGUCGCCGUGGAGCAGAGUGAUUCCUAUUGGCUGAUUGAGGCAGGGUCCAUUGUGGAUGUCACAAUGCGGAAGUUGGACAAUGAGCUCCAGACUAAAACUUCCUCCUCUGGGCAACAUCUGAUAUUGGAAGGGGAAGAUUUGCGGACAGAAAUCUCAAACCAAGCAUCACAUCAAGAUCUGACCGAGUCGGUCAAUUCUUCGGGAGCUGAAUAUCAAUGGCCUUUAAAACUAGAAGGAGAAAUGUUUGCCUGUUCUGUCUGCUUCAGAAAAUUUAAAAUCAGUGUUAUUGGAAAAGCACUGAGACACACACACCCGAAUGAGAGUGUUCCAGUGUACUGACUUUGGAAGGAGCUUUAACCAGUUACGCAGCCUUAAAAAGCAUCCCCAUUUACUGCAGCAGGAGCGGCUGUACACAUGCUCUGUGUGUGGACGCUCAGUUGAUCAUGAAUCUGAAGAGACCCAAGGACACCUGCUGCAUGGAUAAACAGUGAACAUUUGGAGACUGUAGGAAGGGAUUGAUAUCCCCAUCAAAGCUGGAAAUUCAUUAACACAGUCACACUGGGGAGUGGCCAUUCACCUGCCCUGUGUAUGGGAAGGGAUUUACUCAGUCAUCCCACUUGCAGACACACCAGCGAGUUCACACCAGGGAGAGACCGUUCACUUGCUCCGAGUGCGGGAAGGGAUUCACUCGGUCAUCCCACCUGCUGAGACACCAGCGAGUUAACACCGGGGAGAGUCUGUUCACCAGCUCCAUGUGUGGGAAAUGGUUCACUGAUUCAUCCAGUCUGCUGAGGCACCAUAUCACUCACACCAAUGAGAGACCCUUUAAAUGCCCUGACAGUGGGAGUGGCUUCAAAAGUUCUCAGGAACUGAUGUUUCACCAGCGCAUUCACACUGAGGAGAGACCAUUCAGCUGCCCUCACUGCACAAAGAGAUUUCGAAGGUCAUCCAACCUGUGGGAACACCAGUGAGUCCACACCAGUGAGAGGCCAUUCACCUGCUCUGCGUUUGGGAAAGGAUUCAUUCAGUUGUCCAAAUUGCAGAUGCAUGAGCGAGUUCACAUUGGGGAGAGGCCGUUCACCUGCUCUGAUUGUGGGAAGGGAUUCAAGGAUUCAUCCACCCUGCUGAGACACCAGCCCAAUUCUGACGUGAGGUAAUGGUCACUUUGGGGAUAAAAGUAGAGGUUCUGAAGGUCUUCCUUGCUAGCCAAGUACUGAAACUCCCGAAGCCAAGUUCCAAGGAAAUUACUGUCAAAGAAGGAGACAGACUCCCGAGGGCGAGUUCCACAAGAAUUACUGUCAAAAAAGGAGCCAGAGCGGGUUACGCUUCUACAGACUGAUCGCCUGCAUGAAGUUGUAAAAAUCAAUGUCUUAAAGUUAAGUAAACCUUUUUCUUUUAAUAAACUUCUUUUUUAAAUUUA